GAUGAACGCUGGCGGCGUGCCUAAUACAUGCGAGUCGAGCGAACAGACGAGGAGCUUGCUCCUCUGACGUUAGCGGCGGACGGGUGAGUAACACGUGGAUAACCUACCUAUAAGACUGGGAUAACUUCGGGAAACCGGAGCUAAUACCGGAUAAUAUAUUGAACCGCAUGGUUCAAUAGUGAAAGACGGUUUUGCUGUCACUUAUAGAUGGAUCCGCGCCGCAUUAGCUAGUUGGUAAGGUAACGGCUUACCAAGGCAACGAUGCGUAGCCGACCUGAGAGGGUGAUCGGCCACACUGGAACUGCGACACGGUCCAGACUCCUACGGGAGGCAGCAGUAGGGAAUCUUCCGCAAUGGGCGAAAGCCUGACGGAGCAACGCCGCGUGAGUGAUGAAGGUCUUCGGAUCGUAAAACUCUGUUAUUAGGGAAGAACAAAUGUGUAAGUAACUAUGCACGUCUUGACGGUACCUAAUCAGAAAGCCACGGCUAACUACGUG
Molecule: ribosomal RNA, 497 nt
Filed under: uncultured bacterium
Lineage: Bacteria
Description: partial 16S ribosomal RNA
Rfam family: Bacterial small subunit ribosomal RNA
Source: RNAcentral